Non-coding RNA from Paramuricea clavata, 646 nucleotides. The record is from the annotation of a GenBank genome assembly. NCBI's taxonomy places the organism in Eukaryota, Metazoa, Cnidaria, Anthozoa, Malacalcyonacea, Plexauridae.
GAAUUUUUUCUAUGUCGCGUAUCAUGCGGUCAAAACGUAUGACGUCAUCGCAUGCGAUCUCAUUAUGCAAUUUAAAGAUGGCAGCUUGUUAAUUGCCGAUUUGCCGGCUGUUUACUUCAAUGAAAUUUCGUUCUGUUGCUGUUCUCUAUAAGGUUCGAAGGAAGCCUUGCAGAAUAUUUUUCUCUUCACAAGAUCAUUUUAAACGGAGUAUAUAUAUAUAUGGCUGGAGAAUUGCUAACAGGAAGGUGCCGGGGAGAGAAUUUUUAAGAGAGUUUUCACAUAUAUUUCGAAGAAUCGAACUACUAAGGUGACAAGGUCUGUCUACUCUGUGCAGACUGUUCUUGGCUAGGGGGUCGGUGGAUAAUACAAAGCAAAAGGUAUGUUGUAUACAUGUGCUAUAUAUCUUAAUUGUUUUUUUACUAAUUCUAGAUUAAUUAUUAAAAAUUACUUUUGAGCAUUCGUUGGAAUAUAUUUUUUGAAUACAAUUCGCCAAACAGGAAAAUUUGCUUUCAAUGCAUGCAGUUUAUAGAAGGGAAAUUGUGGUUUUUGUAUUAUUUUUUCAGUUAAUUUGUCUGUAUGAAGUUGUAUAAAACAAUACCAAAUUAUAGAGAUAAUUUUGGAAUGAUAUACCAAAAAGAAAACAGGU